This is a long non-coding RNA of Anas platyrhynchos (mallard), 1820 nucleotides long. RefSeq lists it as uncharacterized. The record is from RefSeq and is a predicted model, not a curated record. NCBI's taxonomy places the organism in Eukaryota, Metazoa, Chordata, Aves, Anseriformes, Anatidae.
GUGUUAAUUCGUAGGUGAGACACUGGGAGGAAUGUAUUAUCCAUCAAUUUAUUAGUUUUCCUUUUUCCUCAGCACAGCUGAAGGAGGAAUUCAAUGAAGGCCACCUGGAAGCAGUGAGGCCAGAGAGCUCAGCUGAUGCAGGAGUGAGCAGACUGGCAGCUCUGGUGAUGAAAGAAGUGAAGCACUCGUGUGGUCUCUAUUCUCUGAAGGCACCUGAGGGGAGCCCUGUCCCAGCAGAGCCUGCAGCACUGCUUGGGGAAGGCUACAGGGUAGCAGGUUCUACUCCAAUGGUGACCUUAUUCUCCUGACUUCCCUUUUGCACAGUGAGAUACUUCCCAGCUGAUGUUGCAGUGAGAAGCCAUCGUUGUGGGCCCAUUCUACAGAUGGGAGUGUCCUUACCCUAGUUUCUAUAAACUGUGCGACAGAAACUGUGAGGUUUCUGUACUAAAAUUAAGCACAGGCAUGCAGAGAAUUGGAGAGAACAGAAGCAAGUGUGUGAUCUCAUUUGUAACUGUGUGUGUUCUCUGCAUUUGUAUUUGAAAUGCAUUCAUUUUUCUGUAUCUGCUUGGGAGACCUGUUUCAAAAAAGAAAAGGAAGAGCAGAAGCAUUUUACUCCAGGAUUGUGAUGGUUGCUUUUGGCAAGAGGUGGGAUCAGUUUCUAAUUUGACAGGGUCACUCCCUGUUGUGUCUUACAGCAUCUUGUUCAAGCAUCUGUCAGUGUUUUGGGUAUUUAUGGGCACAGAUCUUUAAUGGCAGUAAAAUGUGUGUAGUAUCAGCAAAAUAAUGGUCUCUUGGAGACACCUUAGAUGGUUAAUUGAGGGGCCUUCCAAUGCCUGCCUGAAGGAAAUGUUUAAAGGCAUGGAGGCAGUGUCAUCCUGCAGCGUGAGAGGCUUUGAAAAAUAUGCAUGUGCUUGUCUUAUGUAGGUGACAAAUGGAUUUCAUGGGUGUAUGCUCAGGGUUUAUGUCCCAAAAUGUUUUCUGGAGCUGCAAAAAGGACUGAAGGAAGUCUUGGGGAAUCUGGGAUAAAGCUGUGAAGAAGACUGGCUUUUAGUAGGGCUCUGUAGAUUGGGAAUUAUGUAGAUUUCUCCAUGUAGCACCAUGAGACCUUUGUAUUUUAGAGCUAUUUUAUUAUAUGGAGUCUUAAAUUGCAGUGAAUCAUACCUCAAAAAUAGCAGGAAAACUUUUUUUUUUUAUAUGCGUUCUAAUUCUUUUUUUCUUCUAAUUUACUAGUGGCUGAAGUCUGCAAUAACGUAGUUGCAAGUAUGAUGGUCAUCACCUGCUAGCUGUGGGCAGCAUGUGCUACACAUCAGGUCUUCCCUGAGUCACUGGUGAGGGCUAAUUGUGCACACACACAGGCUGUUCCAGCUUGUGCUAAGGUUCACAUUUAAGAAUUUUGUAAUAAUACUUGGAUUUGCCUGGCUAUCUGUGCAGGCAAUGAGGAACAGUUAUAACUGCUCUUAAAUUAGGAGCAUGUGGUAGAGAUCAGACCAUGGCCUGUGAAGAUCCAUCUUCUCAUCUGUGCUUGUUGCCAGUGGGCACCUAUUUCAGUAGGCGUAUCUCAGUGUAGCUCUGAGCCUUUUUCAGAAAUGCUGGUUUCCAGCAAUUCCCAUUCCUGCUCUGAACUUCAACCUCAUUCUGUGCUGAGACUGAUAACUGUACUCUCAGUGGUGACUAAUGAGUUGAGAGGUGAUUAUAGGAUUAGGCAGUAUCCCCAAGCUGUGGGAAAUCCUUUCUAAUACAGUGGCACACUGAAGUGUGACACUUACUUGAUAGGAUAAGGUAUAGCUCUUUGCUGUAUGACUGGAUUUGUUUGCUCGUUU